CCAAUAGCGUAUAUUAAAGUUGUUGCAGUUAAAAAGCUCGUAGUUGAAUUUUGGAUUCUGCCAGUUGGUCCAUCUUUUGAUGAGUACUGAUUGUGUGGGGUCUAUCCGCCUGGGGAUACGUAAUGUACUUUAUUGUAUGUUGCGGAUAGCCAGGACCUUUACCUUGAAAAAAUUAGAGUGUUUAAAGCAGGCUUAUGCCGGACUACAUUAGCAUGGAAUAAUAGAAUAGGACGAUGUUGUUUUAUUUUGUUGGUUUCUAGGACAACCGUAAUGAUUAAUAGGGAUAGUUGGGGGCAUUAGUAUUCAAUUGUCAGAGGUGAAAUUCUUGGAUUUAUUGAAGACUAACUACUGCGAAAGCAUUUGCCAAGGAUGUUUUCAUUAAUCAAGAACGAAAGUUAGGGGAUCGAAGACGAUCAGAUACCGUCGUAGUCUUAACCAUAAACUAUGCCGACUAGGGAUCGGGCGAUGUUGUUUCCAUGACUCGCUCGGCACCUUAUG
RNAcentral lists this ribosomal RNA (498 nucleotides) under uncultured Glomeromycotina. RNAcentral's name for it is "partial small subunit ribosomal RNA". It matches the Rfam family "Eukaryotic small subunit ribosomal RNA", at positions 591 to 1092 of the family's 1831-position model. Lineage: Eukaryota; Fungi; Glomeromycota. The record is from RNAcentral.